This 104-nucleotide non-coding RNA is filed under the name Curvibacter sp. RNAcentral describes it as "Glycine sequence". It matches the Rfam family "Glycine riboswitch aptamer". Rfam says of the family: This family represents the bacterial glycine riboswitch. The record is from RNAcentral. Lineage: Bacteria; Pseudomonadati; Pseudomonadota; Betaproteobacteria; Burkholderiales; Comamonadaceae.
CGCGCCCCGUCAGGAGAGAGUUUUCAUCAUCGAGAACCGCCGAAGGCGCAGGACGGCUGAUUGCAGCGGUCUGAACGCUCAGGCAAAAGGACUGACGAACGCCC